AACUUUUCGUUGAUGAGGAAAGUAAACUUGAAAGACUUCUCAGAGAGACUCUGUCCGGUGCAAAGAGUCAAGUUCGCAAAGUUGAAAAAUGGCCUCGGAGAAUAAUCUGUCGAUAGGUAGGCAGGUUCGGUUCACGUUCAUCCGUUAAAAUGAACACCAAUCUCUUCAAAUGAAGAUGUUGGGCAGAGGGAAGGAAACUUCCGAAUAAAGGUGGUACCACGAUUGAUCGUCCUUUUA
Molecule: non-coding RNA, 237 nt
Filed under: Enterococcus durans
Lineage: Bacteria; Bacillati; Bacillota; Bacilli; Lactobacillales; Enterococcaceae
Description: T-box sequence
Rfam family: T-box leader
About the family: Uncharged tRNA acts as the effector for transcription antitermination of genes in the T-box leader family. T-boxes are found upstream of many aminoacyl-tRNA synthetase genes and some amino acid biosynthetic genes usually in Gram-positive bacteria.
Source: RNAcentral